Molecule: ribosomal RNA, 683 nt
Filed under: uncultured bacterium
Lineage: Bacteria
Description: bacterial SSU rRNA
Rfam family: Bacterial small subunit ribosomal RNA
Source: RNAcentral
GGGAUAACACUUGGAAACAGGUGCUAAUACCGUAUAACACUAUUUUCCGCAUGGAAGAAAGUUGAAAGGCGCUUUUGCGUCACUGAUGGGUGGACCCGCGGUGCAUUAGCUAGUUGGUGAGGUAACGGCUCACCAAGGCCACGAUGCAUAGCCGACCUGAGAGGGUGAUCGGCCACACUGGGACUGAGACACGGCCCAGACUCCUACGGGAGGCAGCAGUAGGGAAUCUUCGGCAAUGGACGAAAGUCUGACCGAGCAACGCCGCGUGAGUGAAGAAGGUUUUCGGAUCGUAAAACUCUGUUGUUAGAGAAGAACAAGGAUGAGAGUAAAAUGUUCAUCCCUUGACGGUAUCUAACCAGAAAGCCACGGCUAACUACGUGCCAGCAGCCGCGGUAAUACGUAGGUGGCAAGCGUUGUCCGGAUUUAUUGGGCGUAAAGCGAGCGCAGGCGGUUUCUUAAGUCUGAUGUGAAAGCCCCCGGCUCAACCGGGGAGGGUCAUUGGAAACUGGGAGACUUGAGUGCAGAAGAGGAGAGUGGAAUUCCAUGUGUAGCGGUGAAAUGCGUAGAUAUAUGGAGGAACACCAGUGGCGAAGGCGGCUCUCUGGUCUGUAACUGACGCUGAGGCUCGAAAGCGUGGGGAGCGAACAGGAUUAGAUACCCUGGUAGUCCACGCCGUAAACGAU